Molecule: long non-coding RNA, 893 nt
Organism: Juglans regia (Persian walnut)
Lineage: Eukaryota; Viridiplantae; Streptophyta; Magnoliopsida; Fagales; Juglandaceae
Exons: 3
Source: RefSeq, a predicted model, not a curated record
AUUUUUUGAAAUUAUGAGAAGCUGAUCUGAGAUAUAGAGUGGAUCUAGGAGCUCUCUCUUCUUCUUAAUCUUUCCCACUGGGUCAGUUUUCAGUUUCAGCAGCAUACUGGCAAUAUCUACAUCUUCUGGAGAGUGGACAGUAUUUUCGAGAUUACUAUCCCUCAUUGGACUUAUUUUUCUUUUUUUUCACUGGCUGUAUGUCCACCUUCAUUUGGAUUUUGAGAGAUUUAACUGGGCUUGCAAGUGAAUGGAUGGGCUUUGUUGAAUUAAAGAUGAAGGAAUAGAGAUGGGCGCGAUGGGCUUCAGGUUGACUUUCCUUUUUUGCAUGGCUGGAUUGUUGUCCCCCGAGUGUACAAGCUACUGCCGCAUGUUGAAGUAGCCGGGAUUGAUGUCUUGCACAGUGGAAGUGAGGGGAGCAGCGAAUCCAGGUUGGUUUGAGCAGGGAUGGAUCGCAGCUGCUGGGUUAACGGGUUGAGAGUGCGAAACCAGGUUGAGCAUUCGGGGGUGGACAUCGGCUAUUGGGAUUACGGGUUGGAGAUACGAACCCGUUGUGAGGUUGCGGGCAGCAACUUGAUUGGAUUCGGGUUGAUGAGAUGCACCCGAUUUGCCGUGAGCUAUGGGAGAUUUGUUCGCCGGCGUGUGCUGAGGAGGAAGUCCGCUCUAAAUUUGUUGAGGAUGGAGCCAACCCACAUGAAUCGGGUUUUUCAUCGGAGCAAAGAGUGCAAGUAGAGGAUCCGAAUGGUCCUCAAUAGUUCUUGCUUUUUGGGAGACACCACACUACUAUUAUUUGACACAAUCAAAUCUGCUCAUUCUCAAGAUUUUAAAUUUUACAAAAUCAGUCACAGAAUCAUCACCAUAAUUUUAGGAAUAGUCAUUGAUUUGUAAAUAUUAAU